UUCCCUGCAGGACUGGUCUUGCAUUCUUGGGCCGGCUCAGCUGACAUGGUCAAGCAGCUUGCGGGAAUAGAGGGAGUCCAUUUCUCUAUAUCAGGCCACACAAUGCGCCUGUCAGACAAGAAACUUGUACCCAUGCUGAGAGAGGCAAGCAACCGCCAUCUCGAUGUUCAGUCUGUCCUCUUCGUGAGGAUUCACAGGAGAUUGAUGUCGACAGACAUCAUGCAAGUGGCUUCUAGCUGAGCAGCCAGUGUGUCCCAGAUUCCAUUGGAUCAACUGCUCUUCGAGACCGACAGCCCAGAUGGCCUUGAGCCACUGCUGAGACGCAGCCAUGCCCCUCUCUAUCCAGUGAACCCAUCCUUGGCGUCUUGUCCUGAGACACACGGAAAGGAUCCUGGGUUGAACCAUCCUGGCAACAUCAGGUGCAGUCCACAGACCAACUUGCGAGUAGAGAGAUUGACCAAUGAUCACUCAGUAAUUCUUCUGCCGAGCUUCAGUAUACAGUGGCUGAUGUGUUGCUGUUCUGUGCAGGGCUGUGCUCGAGUGUAUUUCUCAGCAUUUAGAUUGUCCAGAAUCAGACGUUGCCAAAGCAGCCUUUGACAAUGCUACACGCCUGU
Molecule: long non-coding RNA, 614 nt
Filed under: Coccomyxa subellipsoidea
Lineage: Eukaryota; Viridiplantae; Chlorophyta; Trebouxiophyceae; Coccomyxaceae
Description: long non-coding RNA (CSUB_LNC000594)
Source: RNAcentral